GAUGAACGCUGGCGGCGUGCUUAACACAUGCAAGUCGAACGAUGAAGCCCAGCUUGCUGGGUGGAUUAGUGGCGAACGGGUGAGUAACACGUGAGUAACCUGCCCUUAACUCUGGGAUAAGCCUGGGAAACUGGGUCUAAUACCGGAUAGGAGCGUCCACCGCAUGGUGGGUGUUGGAAAGAUUUAUCGGUUUUGGAUGGACUCGCGGCCUAUCAGCUUGUUGGUGAGGUAAUGGCUCACCAAGGCGACGACGGGUAGCCGGCCUGAGAGGGUGACCGGCCACACUGGGACUGAGACACGGCCCAGACUCCUACGGGAGGCAGCAGUGGGGAAUAUUGCACAAUGGGCGAAAGCCUGAUGCAGCGACGCCGCGUGAGGGAUGACGGCCUUCGGGUUGUAAACCUCUUUCAGUAGGGAAGCAGCGAAAGUGACGGUACCUGCAGAAGAAGCACCGGCUAACUACGUG
Molecule: ribosomal RNA, 466 nt
Filed under: uncultured bacterium
Lineage: Bacteria
Description: partial 16S ribosomal RNA
Rfam family: Bacterial small subunit ribosomal RNA
Source: RNAcentral